Molecule: ribosomal RNA, 449 nt
Filed under: uncultured bacterium
Lineage: Bacteria
Description: bacterial SSU rRNA
Rfam family: Bacterial small subunit ribosomal RNA
Source: RNAcentral
AACGAACGCUGGCGGCAUGCCUAACACAUGCAAGUCGAACGAAGCCUUCGGGCUUAGUGGCGCACGGGUGCGUAACACGUGGGAAUCUGCCCUUCGGUUCGGAAUAACAGUUAGAAAUGACUGCUAAUACCGGAUGAUGACGUAAGUCCAAAGAUUUAUCGCCGAAGGAUGAGCCCGCGUAGGAUUAGGUAGUUGGUAGGGUAAUGGCCUACCAAGCCGACGAUCCUUAGCUGGUCUGAGAGGAUGAUCAGCCACACUGGGACUGAGACACGGCCCAGACUCCUACGGGAGGCAGCAGUGGGGAAUAUUGGACAAUGGGCGAAAGCCUGAUCCAGCAAUGCCGCGUGAGUGAUGAAGGCCUUAGGGUUGUAAAGCUCUUUACCAGGGAUGAUAAUGACAGUACCUGGAGAAUAAGCUCCGGCUAACUCCGUGCCAGCAGCCGCGGUAAU